GACAGAGGGUGCAAACGUUGCUCGGAAUUACUGGGCGUAAAGCGCGUGUAGGCGGGAAGAUAAGUCGGGUGUGAAAUCCCUGGGCUCAACCUAGGAACUGCAUUCGAAACUGUCUUUCUGGAGUGAUGGAGAGGAAAGCGGAAUUCCCGGUGUAGAGGUGAAAUUCGUAGAGAUGUGGAGGAACACCGAUGGCGAAGGCAGCCCCCUGGGCCAACACUGACGCUCAGGCACGAAAGCGUGGGGAGCAAACAGG
Molecule: ribosomal RNA, 253 nt
Filed under: uncultured bacterium
Lineage: Bacteria
Description: partial 16S ribosomal RNA
Rfam family: Bacterial small subunit ribosomal RNA
Source: RNAcentral